Molecule: ribosomal RNA, 407 nt
Filed under: uncultured bacterium
Lineage: Bacteria
Description: bacterial SSU rRNA
Rfam family: Bacterial small subunit ribosomal RNA
Source: RNAcentral
CGGUGAGUAAUAUAUCGGAACGUGCCCAGUCGUGGGGAUACGUAGCGAAAGUUACGCUAAUACCGCAUACGAUCUAAGGAUGAAAGCGGGGGACUCGCAAGAGCCUCGCGCGAUUGGAGCGGCCGAUAUCAGAUUAGGUAGUUGGUGGGGUAAAGGCUCACCAAGCCAACGAUCUGUAGCUGGUCUGAGAGGACGACCAGCCACACUGGAACUGAGACACGGUCCAGACUCCUACGGGAGGCAGCAUGGGGAAUUUUUGGACAAUGGACGCAAGUCUGAUCCAGCCAUUCCGCGUGCAGGAUGAAGGCCCUCGGGUUGUAAACUGCUUUUGUACGGAACGAAAAGGUUUCUAUUAAUACUAGGAGCUCAUGACGGUACCGUAAGAAUAAGCACCGGCUAACUACGUG